AUGGGGAUGCAACCCAUCCUCUGCUUGCUUCCAGCACGGCGCCGGCCGGAUCCACCUCGGCCACAACCACGACACCGGCAUUGGCAGCCAUGUGCUUCUUCUCCAUCACCACAAAAUGAGAAUGCAAGGCACAAGCAAGGGAAGACCAUCGCUUCGCUCCUCUGGGCCGCCGCUGCUACAACCCUACUGGACGCCAUGCAAGUAACUUUUUCCCGCCUUGCUGGAGGAGAUGAAGCACAUGGCAAAGCAGGAGUUCAUUGCGCACUUAAGAAGAGGAGGCGUCCUGGAGCACGGUGGAGGCAUUUUGGACGUGGAGCACGGCCUUGCGGUUCCUCGCCUAGGGAGGCCAUGCGAGAAACUUGGGGCAGCAAGGUACUGCCUCUUGCUGCUCCUCCCCCAUGUCUGGAGCUCGCCUGGAGCUCCCCCACGCCUUGA
Molecule: ribosomal RNA, 435 nt
Filed under: Triticum aestivum (bread wheat)
Lineage: Eukaryota; Viridiplantae; Streptophyta; Magnoliopsida; Poales; Poaceae
Description: partial small subunit ribosomal RNA
Source: RNAcentral